ACGCUUUUUACUUUAGCUUGCUAGAGUAGAAGGAGUUGCGAACGGGUGAGUAACGCGUAGGUAACCUACCUACUAGCGGGGGAUAACUAUUGGAAACGAUAGCUAAUACCGCAUAAAAGUCGAUAUCGCAUGAUAUUGAUUUGAAAGGUGCAAUUGCAUCACUAAGAGAUGGACCUGCGUUGUAUUAGCUAGUUGGUGAGGUAACGGCUCACCAAGGCGACGAUACAUAGCCGACCUGAGAGGGUGAUCGGCCACACUGGGACUGAGACACGGCCCAGACUCCUACGGGAGGCAGCAGUAGGGAAUCUUCGGCAAUGGGGGCAACCCUGACCGAGCAACGCCGCGUGAGUGAAGAAGGUUUUCGGAUCGUAAAGCUCUGUUGUAAGAGAAGAACGAGUGUGAGAGUGGAAAGUUCACACUGUGACGGUAACUUACCAGAAAGGGACGGCUAACUACGUGCCAGCAGCCGCGGUAAUACGUAGGUCCCGAGCGUUAUCCGGAUUUAUUGGGCGUAAAGCGAGCGCAGGCGGUUAGAUAAGUCUGAAGUUAAAGGCUGUGGCUUAACCAUAGUACGCUUUG
Molecule: ribosomal RNA, 579 nt
Filed under: uncultured bacterium
Lineage: Bacteria
Description: bacterial SSU rRNA
Rfam family: Bacterial small subunit ribosomal RNA
Source: RNAcentral